CACGGCUUCCUUUAAUACUUAGAUGGCUAGAUCAGUUAGUUUUUCAAAUCACUAGGUUGUAAACACUAAGCAGAUUUCUGACAUACAAGUAAUGUUCUAGGAACUGCUUUUUUGCAAGCAGCAGAUAACUUAUAGAGAGCUUUGAACUGCAUUUAUUUCUAAAGCAACUGAAGUCUAGUGCUACAAACAGAGGAUUACAACUUCUGAGAAGAAUAAGCAGAAAGAGCAGAUGAACUCUCAGGGCCAUAGUCUUCCUUUGAUCUUGUAAAACUCCAAUUGACAUCUGGAGUUCCUAGUCUGGUGAGAAAAUAGACUAUAAACCAAAUGGAACAAUGAUCCUAUCCAAUAUUUUGGUGGAGACUUUAAAACCAGACCAUACAAGGACUCACCUGAUGUCCAGAAAAACUGACAAAAAAAGUACAGAAUUAUUUUCUAUCAAAUGUUUUUAGGUGGCUACUAAGCAUCUUUAAAAAAAUAUCAAAUGUUGUAUGGAAACAAAACUAAAUGUUAUUUUCUUUAUCUAAAUUAAUCUCUUGUUAUUGUUAUUUAUGGUUUUCUGGAUCCUUUAUUUUUAAAAAUCUAAUAUUAGUGAUAUCAUUUCUCUUCCUUCAUCUUUUUGUUUUUGUUUUUAGCAACCAUAAAUUCCAGUGGAAUAAUUUAAAAAAGACAACAGAAAGUCCAAAUACAAUUUGCUAUUCAAAGUAAAUUAUUAUUUGAAGCCACUUUAAAAACUCUUGAGAAGGAAAAUGGAAUGGGAUAUGGGAUUAGGACUAUUUAAUUUUUAAACACUAUUCUUAUUAUUUAAUGUUAACAUUUCCUCUGUUUCUUAGAGGGUGAAGGGUUGAUAUUAAAUUGGCAAAUGCACUCUUUGGAAAUCCUUUUCCAUUUUGUCCACAUGGCAGGGUUAAACAUUUAAUUUCAUGGCCUCUGUGCAUAUAGUGCUCUCUCACAGUAUGCAAGAGUAUUACCUGCAAGGAUAGAAUGCAGUUGUGCAACAUAGACACAUUCUUGUUUCUCUUGGUUUUCUGUUUUUAAUGACCCACUUAUUGAAUAUUGGGCUGAAAUAUAAAUUUAAAAAAUCACCUUGGAAAGGAUGUACAACAGAAGGCUGUGUGUGUAUAUACAGUAUGUUAAAAAGC
Molecule: long non-coding RNA, 1139 nt
Filed under: Marmota monax (woodchuck)
Lineage: Eukaryota; Metazoa; Chordata; Mammalia; Rodentia; Sciuridae
Source: RNAcentral